RNAcentral lists this ribosomal RNA (227 nucleotides) under Bacillus sp. BW. Its description in RNAcentral is "partial 16S ribosomal RNA". It matches the Rfam family "Bacterial small subunit ribosomal RNA", at positions 1236 to 1480 of the family's 1533-position model. Lineage: Bacteria; Bacillati; Bacillota; Bacilli; Caryophanales; Bacillaceae. The record is from RNAcentral.
AGAACAAAGGCACAAGGUACCAAUCCCAUAAAUUUUUUCAGUUCGGAUCGCAGUCUGCAACUGAUGCGUGAAGCUGGAAUCGCUAGUAAUCGCGGAUCAGCAUGCCGCGGUGAAUACGUUCCCGGGCCUUGUACACACCGCCCGUCACACCACGAGAGUUUGCAACACCCGAAGUCGGUGAGGUAACCUUUAUGGAGCCAGCCGCCGAAGGUGGGCAGAUAUGGGGG